AGGAGCAACAUAGAACUUACUUUCAAGGAAUGUAAUUGUGGGUAUCUACCUGUCUGGUGUCUCUCAAGGACAGGUGGAAAGGCUUUCUGUUUAUUCACUCACAGUGUUCCUGGGGGUGAUGGCUUGCCAGGUGGCUUUUGCUGAAAACAUUUAAAGGCACAAGUACUGGCCUCAGCAGCCUGACACUUGGGACAAAUAAUAGACCAAGAACCCUGGGAAGAAGAGACUGGGACAGGGAUGUGUGGGAAUAGGGCUUUUCAAAGCUGCUGCAUAUAGCUGGGAAUGGAGAAAAGCCACGUGCAAACUAAGAGUGAGACAUAUACUCAGCAAAGGCCUGAGAAGACUAAGUUUUCAUCUCUUGCUGAUUUUCAGCCUUUGUGAGAGUAGGAAGUGAAACUAAGGUAGAGUUCUAAGCAGCCAGGCUAAGUGUUCAAAGAGUUAGCUCUGACAGGGUUCCAUUUUGCAAAGAUGUAGGAGAGUAUUUUUUCUUUCCUUAGAAGUUUUUUUUGUUGUUGGCUUCAGACCUUUAUGGUAACUGUCAAGAUAGCAGCUGUUCAAUAAGCUAAAGGAACACAGAACUCACAUAAAUAGGGAAAGUCUGUAAGCAAGCAAACACCAGCAACCUACAACAGGCAGCAAUAAACCCUGAGAGAAGGGAAACUCUGACUUCCAGAGUUGCCAUAUAUUCAAAAUAGCCAGUAUUCAACAACAAAAGUCACUAGCUGUUCAAAGAAACGAUUUAAAGCCUUACACAGAGGAAAAAGAAAAUAUAGAAACGGUCCAGGAGGCAGCCCAGGUAUUGGACUUACUAGACAAAGACCUUCAACUAACUGUAUUAAAUAUGCUCAAAGACCUAAGGAAAUCAGGAGAGCAAUGUCUCAGUAUAUAGAGAAUGUCAGUAAAGAGAUAGGAAUUUAGAAAAGGCACCAAAUAGAAAUUUUGGAGCUGAAGAGUAUAAAAGCUGAGGUGAAAAAUUUAUUCACUAGAAGGGCUUAGAAUCGGAUUUAUGCAGGCAGGAGAAGGAACCCAUGAACUUAAAGACCGGUCAGUUGAGGUGAUUUAAUCCAAGAAGCAGAAGGAGAAAAGAAUGAAGAAAAAUUGUCAGAGCCUGAGAACUGUGGUACACCAUCAAGAAUAUAACCUGCAUGAAUGGGAGUCCCAGGAGGAAUAAAGACAAACAUAGAUCAAUAAAAUAGAAUGAGAGUCUAGAAAUACUAUACAUCUAUGACCAAUUUUUGACAAGGGUACUAAGAUUUAAUGGAGAAAGAAUAGUCUCUUCAACACAUUGUGCCAGGACAAGUGGGUAUUCACAUGCAAAAGAAAGUUGGACCUUGAACUGACAUAUAAAAAUUAAUAUUCAGAAUAGAUCAAAGACCUAAAUAUAAGAGCUAAAACUAAAUAAACUUUUGGAAGAAAAUAUGGUAAGUUUUCAUGGCCUUGAAUCUGACAGUGGAUUCUUAGAUAUGACACCAAAAACACAGUCAACAGCAAUAAAAUAGAUAAAUUGGGCUAUAUCACAAUCUAAAACUUUUAUACAUUAGAAGAUACUAUCAAAAUGAAAAGACAACUUACCGAAUGGGGAAAGAUGGUGCAAAUCAUGUAUCUCAUUAGCAUCUAGUAUCCAGAAUAUAUAAUGGACUGUCAUAACAACAAAAAGACAACGUAAUUAAAAGAUGGGCAGAGGAUUUGAAAAGACAUUUUUCCAAAGGAGGCAUAAUACAAAUGGACAAUAAGCGCAUGAAAAGAUGCUCGACAUCAUUCAUUGUGAAAGAAAUGUCAAAACCACAGAAAGAUAACACUUCACAGUAGGAUGGCUAUCAUAAAAAAAUGGAAAACAAAAUUGUUGGUGAGAAUGUGGGGCAAUUGGAACCCUCAGACAUUACUGCUGGGAAUGUGAAAUGGUGAAGCCACUAUGGAAAACAGUGUGGUUAAACAUAGAAUAACUGUAUGACCCAGCAAUCUACUCUGAGGUACAUAGUCUGAGGUACAUUCUUUGUAUCUAUACAAAGAGUUGAAAACAUGUAUUCAAAUACUUGUGUACAAAUGUACAUAGCACUAUUUGCAAUACAGCCAAAAUGUGGGACCCACCCAAACAUUCGUCAUGUGAUAACUGAAUAAUCCAGAUGUGGUCUGUCCAUACAGUGUCCUGUCACUUCAGUCCUGAAAAGGAAAGCAGCACUGAUGCGUGCUAUACUGUGGAUGCACCUCAAAAACAUGCCAAGUGGAAGAAGCCAGACGCAAAAAGUUGUACAUUUUAUUAUUCCAUUUAUAUGCGCCAUCAAGGAUAGGUAAAUCUGUACAGACAGCAGACUCGUGCUUAUGGAAAGCUGGAAAGAGGGAGGGAUGGGGAUGCCUGCUUAACGGGUAUGGGUUUCCUGUUGGGGGUUACGAAUACGUUUUGGAACAUAGAAAUGAUGGUUUUACAACAUUAUGAAUGUGCUAAACACCACUGAAUUGUACAUUUUAAAAUAUUUAAUUUUAUGUUAUGUGAAUUAUACCUCAAUAAAAAAGAAAAAGUGGUGCUGCACAGCCCGAAAA
This 2538-nucleotide long non-coding RNA is filed under the name Canis lupus familiaris (dog). RNAcentral's name for it is "lncRNA (ENSCAFG00845006546.1)". The record is from RNAcentral. Lineage: Eukaryota; Metazoa; Chordata; Mammalia; Carnivora; Canidae.